UACAGAGACUGCAAGCGUUAUUCGGAUUCACUGGGCGUAAAGGGCUCGUAGGUGGCCAACUAAGUCAGACGUGAAAUCCCUCGGCUUAACCGGGGAACUGCGUCUGAUACUGGAUGGCUUGAGGUUGGGAGAGGGAUGCGGAAUUCCAGGUGUAGCGGUGAAAUGCGUAGAUAUCUGGAGGAACACCGGUGGCGAAGGCGGCAUCCUGGACCAAUUCUGACACUGAGGAGCGAAAGCCAGGGGAGCAAACGGG
This 253-nucleotide ribosomal RNA is filed under the name uncultured bacterium. Its description in RNAcentral is "partial 16S ribosomal RNA". It matches the Rfam family "Bacterial small subunit ribosomal RNA", at positions 524 to 776 of the family's 1533-position model. The record is from RNAcentral.